RNAcentral lists this long non-coding RNA (1042 nucleotides) under Phasianus colchicus (ring-necked pheasant). Its description in RNAcentral is "lncRNA (ENSPCLG00000008947.1)". The record is from RNAcentral. Lineage: Eukaryota; Metazoa; Chordata; Aves; Galliformes; Phasianidae.
CAAUCAUUAGGGCUUGAUUCUGUUGGAAAGAACAGAGAGAGCUGUACUGAGUCAUCCCAGUAACUCAAGUAGUACUGCCUCGUGUCUGGCUUGGGUCACAGCAGCUGUGUGAGGAGGAAUCUAUAGCACAUGGUACUUCCCUUGAUGUUACCUUCCGGGCUGGCAGUAGUCUGCAAGAGAGAAACUUUCUGAACCAGAGAUUUGUUCUUCCUUUCUCCUCUCUGAGAUCAGUGACAGCUGUGGGCUCAAUAAUCUCUAAAACCCACGCUUCUAUAUUUAAAUGCCUAAAUAUAGAUGUAGAGGCCUAUGAGUUUGUGGGCACCAUUGAAGUGGACUGGAAAUUUCCCAUUUGCUUUUCUGGCCCUAUUUCAGGUAACCAGCCUGAAAAAAAAAAAAAAAAGAGGAAGAAAGAUUAAGUGGCUCGUGCAAGAUGGCUGAACAAAUGGGACAAAUGGCUGGCAAUGCUCAGGAGUUCUGGAUUCCAUUCUCGUGUUCCAACUGCUGAAUUAAAUUUGUUCUUGUAGAGAAAGAGCUCAUGCUGGAACUGACUGAGUUGCAUCUCGUCUGGGUGAUAUCUCUGGGCAAAUUCCAUCAGAAGACAUUGGGCAGCCACACCCAGGGCCAGAAUUUUCUCAAAAUCACCAGCAGUGGGUUUUUUUUCCAGUGCUGCAGACAGAUACCCAACAAUGAUGAACUAUUCUUCUGUGUUUACUUUAUUUGUCCUGUUGGGCUGGCAGUGCUAAGUGCUGCAAUUGACGGAGCAGCAGCCGAGCUGGCAGUGGAAAUGUCCAGACAGCCCAUGAACAGCAGCUUAAUGCAAGUGCAGGUUCUGCUGCAAAAAUCUCAUGAUGUUACUGCCCUUGGCUAGUCAUGGCUAAACUUGAUCACAUACUGCUGCAGACUCUGCUUUUACUGAGUGACUUUCAGCCAGCUAGCUUUGAUAGCAGAGCAAAUGUUGACUUGUUGGGAUCAAGCGUGAGAUUGAAAAGCAUAUUUAUGCCCUCUUAAUAAAGAAAAUCGUAGCUCUGACCGCUGUGGGAGU